Molecule: transfer RNA, 77 nt
Filed under: Candidatus Uhrbacteria bacterium RIFOXYA2_FULL_40_9
Lineage: Bacteria; Candidatus Uhriibacteriota
Also listed under: 2 other names
Description: tRNA-Lys
Rfam family: tRNA
About the family: Transfer RNA (tRNA) molecules are approximately 80 nucleotides in length.
Source: RNAcentral
GCGCCGUUAGCUCAGUCCGGUAGAGCAGGUGGCUCUUAACCACUUGGUCGAGGGUUCAAAUCCCCCACGGCGCACCA